UAGGCCACACUAACAGGAGCCGAUGAUUCCAAAAGCUUUGCCAGCCUGACUGCCAACCCGAAGACACAUUUGCUUAAGUCAAGCAAUUUCAGCAGGUAAAACACAAGAGCAUGCCAUGAAACAACGCAGCCCCAAAGAAAAGAGCUGUGAAAUCAUCAACAAGCCAAAAAGAGGACUGUUAGGUGUUUUCUAUGUAAAUGGAGAGCCAUGAGCACAUAUUAACUUAUUAAACUAUAAAACUAAGCCAGAUUGUCCAUUUCCAAAAUUUCCUAUUAGUAUACUUAAUCUACAUUUGCUCUUCGUCGAUCUGCUUUCUCUUAGACAAGAUCACUGUUGAUCUCUGGUUCUCAGCCCUGGCUGGACAUUAGAAUCACCUGGGGAACUUUUAAAACUCUUCGGAUGCCCAGGCCCCACCCCUAGUGCAGGGAUGUAGCCCAAGCACUGAUCGUUGCUAACACUCCCCAGAUGAGGCCAAUGGUUGCAAACAUCCCCCCUAGUGAGGGAGGGUUGAGAGUCACAGUCAUUGCUAAUUAAGUGGAAGUAGGAGCAGACAGAAUAAGUAGAAUUUAUGGGAGGAAAACCUAAAGUUGAGGAAACACUAUUCAUUCAUUUUUGUUUUCCUGUGAAUGGAGAAACAAAGGACGUAUUCGCUCUCAGCAGCAGAACAUCUUUGUUUAGCUCUAGGAUUGACAUAUUCCAUAGGUACCUAGUUGAGGCCCACUGACUUAAGUGAUUGGAAAGAGACCCCCAGAAACUGGAGGGCAGCUACAGGUCAUGCUGAGAAGAAAUGCCCACGAUGGGUGUCGAAACAUUGGGGGAAAGUGGAGGAAGAUGAGAGGGCAUGGGGCAUCAGGAAAGGCUUCCUGGAAGAGGUGGUUCUUGAAAUGGGCCUGGAGUAGAAGGAUUCCUAGGGAAGAAAUGUGGAUACUGUCGUUGGCUGAAGCCACCUCUUCCACCAGCAGCCCAGAGCUCACUGGAGACAGAUGCUGCUGUCCAGGAGCCGGACCAUCUACCACCUCAAAGCAGCAGCUGUCUGGAGUUGGAAGAGGAUUGCAGACGCACCCAACUAUGGUCCAGAUGACGUGCUGGGAGGGCGCGGUCCACCAGAGCUCCGCUGAGCAAAGGAAUAGCUAAGCUUGCAGCCUCUGCCCUUAGAGGUGCAGCCAGAGAAAGAGAACCCCUGGCCUGUUCUUUCUCUGACCACACCACAUCAGCCUGCAUAAGAUCAUACAGAGGCUCCUCUCACUUUUUUUUUUUAACUACAAGGUGUAGAUUUUCUUCUUUUUUGAAAUUCUUUCUCUAAAGCAGCAAGUUAUUACAAGUUUUGAAUAGUGAGCGGACUUGCCUAAGAAAUCCAGGCAAAGAGCAUUUAAUAAAUGGUUUUGCGAAUGCCCUAGAGAAUUGGUAUGGCACAGGGCAACAAAAAUUUUUUUCUGGGGGGCCGCCCAGUGGCCGAGUGGUUAAGUUCACACGCUCCGCUUCGGCGGCUCAGGGUUUCACCAGUUCGGAUCCUGGUGCAGACAUGGCACCGCUCAUCAGGCCAUGCUGAGGCAGCGUCCCACAUGCCACAACCAGAAGGACCUACAACUAGAAUAUACAACUAUGUACUGGGUGCGCUCUGGGGAGAAGAAGAAGAUUGGCAACAGAUGUUAGCUCAGGUGCCAAUCUUUUGAAGAAAAAUCAGUUAAUUCAACUUAAUAGAUAUUGCUGAGCACUGACCAUGCAUCGGGUUUCUAACAAGUAAGGAGAUAAGACAGCUGCAGAAGUUACUAUAACAAAAGGCAAAGUGAGAACCAUCACAAGGAAAGUCUCAAAAUGCUGUGGCUCUUUGGAGGCAGAUGAGAGGGAACUGGGCUUCCUGGAGGAGGUGGUGCUUACAAUGGGCCUUGAAUCUGAAGGAUUUCAAUAGAGGGAGCCUGUGGGAGGGGUGAAGGGUAGUUAAUGCCACAGAAAGGAGAGCUCCAAAGUGGCUCCUGCUUGCCUGUCUUGGAGCAGAGAGUUGGGGGGCUGCGCAUGAAGCCCAGGAAGAACAAAGCCUGUGUUUGCUGCCAACUUCCAAAAUUGCACGGGCGGGAGAGUCGGGGGCAGGGAGCGCUAAGGUCGUUCGUACAAAGUAGCCAAUUUACAGUUAUGGUUACACUUGAGUCAAUUAAAGUGUUUUAUUAGCAGGAAUUUGAAUCUCUUACCUUCAUUAACAUUUAACAGUAAAUGGAAGAAAAAAGGUAAAUAAAAUAUUAUCUGGCUUUUUAAAGGUCAUUUCAGACUGAGCAUUAUAAACUGUGAGCUGGGGAAGGGUGGGGAUGGCCCUUUGUGUGGAUUUAGUACGUGGCGCCUGCCAUAUGUGUAGAUCAUGAGAGAUACCUGACGGCCGGCCAGGCGGCAGAACGCCUCCCGGCAGGUGAGGCACUUGAGGUGCAUUCAUCAUCGGCAGCACGUUUGAGGCAGAAGGAGCGAAGCAGCAGAUCUGAGGUGUGAGAACUCAUUUUUUGCUUUAGAUCUCAGAUUGUAAAUCAUUUGGGGUAUGCAGUCCUUGGUAAUUACUCCCAUGAUCAACACCUGCUUUUUAACAACCCCAGGCUAGCAGCCCAAAUUGAUUCACCCACAUACCUAAUCAUUGCCCCAAAGGAAAGAAGCGCAAAGGGAGCCCUGUGCCCAGGUCUCAGAGAGUCCACCCGGGGGCCUCAGGGACCCCUGGUCACAGGAGACAGACCACACUCAUGCCCCAAGCACGCUGUGGACAUUUGACAUCAAAGCCUGCUGUUAUUGGAAGCCAGAAGCAGAAACAGGAUAAUUUGGCAAGGCUGUAAAUGUUCAACCUGAAAAGAAACUCCUCUUAUUUUUUAAUUUUCCAAAGUGUCAAGCCAGAAGUGAUUAGAAAGCCAUCCAAAAGCUGCCCGGUGAAUAUUUCAUCCCAACUUGUCACCUUGGAGAUGAUAAGACCUCACUCGUGACGCUCAAGUGUCAUCUGACCCUGGAAAGGCAGCAGGGAAAGCUCUUCCUUGAAAUUCUUUAUCAGAAUGGGUGGACUAGCAGGAGAAGACCCACCCCUCCCACGAUGGAGUUUCUGAAGACUUCAAGGGUUUGGUGAUGGCUGUCCUUGCCCUGGGUGAAGGAGUGGGCAGGGAGAAAGGCUACCUCCACACCUGCAGACACAAACCCUAGAGAACAGGAAGUUCGCUUUUUGAAGUAGUAAUAGAGAGCAGAGUCUUACUCAAAUGAGCAAGCGCUCGUGGGUUCAAUCCUCUUCCUGGGCCGCCUACAUCACUAGGGCCUUUGACUCGAUGGCAGCUGAAAAUAGGGGGAAAUGAAAUCACAGCCAAAUAUUCCCUAAUUUUAAAUAAAUAUUGCUAAUCACAGUGACCGUGGUCAGAGCACAAUGCAGCUGUAUAAAUACAAAGAACAAAAUUAAGAGGAAAAAAGAGGAUAAUAACAUACAUAAAUAUAAAUCAAAAAUCUGAUUUUAAUAUACUAAAAGCAUCUGGUCUAGUUCUCUAAAUGUCAGAGGCGGCUGCUCGCUGUCCCUCCAGCAUGACUCCCAUUAGCAGCUGAGGAGGCGGCCUUCCGUGUAUCCAGAUCUGAAGAGUAUACACAAGCAACUUCUCACCCAUGCUAAGAAGUCUGGGGAUUUCGUCCAGCCUAAAAGACCUUUAGCACCAAAGUGUACAAAGCCACAGUAAGAGGCAGGGGGUAAGACUGUGAACCAUUUUCAGUGUCAUCUAGAGAAGCCAACAAUCUCUAUGAUGCCGUAGAUGUAUGUACUGUCUAUUAUCCAAAAAGGUUAUAUUGGGCUCCUGAUAAUCACCGAAACUAUCAUCCUUUGCAAAACUGACUGAACGCACAGUAAAAGCCAGGCACUGUGUUUUUACCUUAGUGAAUGUCAUCACAGUUCAGUCCUACAAGAACGGUGUGCAGUAGUGAUUUUCUCUCAAAUGCAGAGAGUGAAGUCGGGCUCACGAAGUGAAUGCAGUCGCCCUGGUUGCUGUUCUGUCAGCCUAUGUCUUCUUUUGGUCAACCUGCCCUCUCUCAUGCAGGUAAUUUGGAAGUAAAUAAAUGAAAUGACCACUUAUUCCCACCAAAACGACAAUGCUUUCUUACCCAUGCUGACUGGGAAGCGUUUGAGCCAGAACACCCACCACGAGAAGACUUUCAAGGAAGUUGCUUCUGCCCGCUACAAGGAUUGGUGUUCAUUUAUUCGUUAUAACUCAGACAUAAAAAAGCCUAGGAUCUUACAGGACUGUGUUUUUGAAGAUGAGACUCUGUGAAAGUUUAACAUAUCUAAAAACACAUCAGGGACCUAUCAUAAGAAAACAAAAUAUGCCUACGUUACUCCUGUAAUCACAGCUCUUUUUUGAAAAUGUCUCAUCCAGGAAGCCCUUACAGUCAUAAAGUACUUUUCAGUCCACAAACCUCCUUCAGAAUCAUCCUGUAAAGUGGAAAGGGCAGAGGGUGUUUGCUCCAUUUCCAGAUGAGGACGU
RNAcentral lists this long non-coding RNA (4475 nucleotides) under Equus caballus (horse). Its description in RNAcentral is "lncRNA (ENSECAG00000043901.1)". Lineage: Eukaryota; Metazoa; Chordata; Mammalia; Perissodactyla; Equidae. The record is from RNAcentral.